AAGAACUGAGAAAAGAAGAGAAGUUAUCCUUUCUUUGAGUCAGUGGUACCGACAAUUCGAUAUUUCCUGCAUGACCUACACCUUAGACAUAUAUAUCUUAUUUGUUUGAGCAGUUCUAUUCAAAAUUUGAGAAAAAGAUCCACACUAAGGAAGCAGAGAAGAGUAAUUUGCAAGCCAAAACUAAGGUAAGAUUUUGUAUCAUAUUAUGAAUUCAAACUUUCAUUGGUGG
This 229-nucleotide long non-coding RNA is filed under the name Olea europaea (common olive). RNAcentral's name for it is "long non-coding RNA (OEUR_LNC008605)". The record is from RNAcentral. Lineage: Eukaryota; Viridiplantae; Streptophyta; Magnoliopsida; Lamiales; Oleaceae.